Molecule: unclassified non-coding RNA, 342 nt
Filed under: soil metagenome
Description: partial contains 5.8S ribosomal RNA, internal transcribed spacer 2, and large subunit ribosomal RNA
Rfam family: 5.8S ribosomal RNA (bases 1-120)
Source: RNAcentral
GAUGAAGAACGUAGCGAAAUGCGAUAAGUAGUGUGAAUUGCAGAAUUCAGUGAAUCAUCGAAUCUUUGAACGCACAUUGCGGCCAUAGGUAUUCCUUUGGCCAUGCCUGUUCGAGCGUCAUUUACACCCUCAAGCCUAGCUUGGUGUUGGGCGUCUGUCCCGCCGUUCUCGCGCGCGGACUCGCCUUAAAGUCAUUGGCGGCGGUCGUGCCGGCCCCCUCGCGCAGCACAUUUGCGCUUCUCGGAGGCCCGGCGGAUCCGCGCUCCAGCAAGACCUUUCACGACUUGACCUCGGAUCAGGUAGGGAUACCCGCUGAACUUAAGCAUAUCAAUAAGCGGAGGA